GGGGUUAUAGCUCAGUUGGUAGAGUACCUCAAUGGCAUUGAGGGGGUCAGCGGUUCGAAUCCGCUUAGCUCCA
RNAcentral lists this transfer RNA (73 nucleotides) under Microcystis sp. T1-4. Its description in RNAcentral is "tRNA-Ala". It matches the Rfam family "tRNA". Rfam says of the family: Transfer RNA (tRNA) molecules are approximately 80 nucleotides in length. Lineage: Bacteria; Bacillati; Cyanobacteriota; Cyanophyceae; Chroococcales; Microcystaceae. The record is from RNAcentral.